UCAGCGACAGUCACUUUUCAUGUCAAA
This 27-nucleotide non-coding RNA is filed under the name Rattus norvegicus (Norway rat). The record is from RNAcentral. Lineage: Eukaryota; Metazoa; Chordata; Mammalia; Rodentia; Muridae.